GCAGAGGAAAGUGGCGGACGGGUGAGUAACGCGUGAGGAACCUGCCUUGAAGAGGGGGACAACAGUUGGAAACGACUGCUAAUACCGCAUGACGCAUAGAGGUCGCAUGAUCUUUAUGCCAAAGAUUUAUCGCUUCAAGAUGGCCUCGCGUCUGAUUAGCUGGUUGGCGGGGUAACGGCCCACCAAGGCGACGAUCAGUAGCCGGACUGAGAGGUUGAACGGCCACAUUGGGACUGAGAUACGGCCCAGACUCCUACGGGAGGCAGCAGUGGGGAAUAUUGGGCAAUGGGCGCAAGCCUGACCCAGCAACGCCGCGUGAAGGAAGAAGGCUUUCGG
RNAcentral lists this ribosomal RNA (336 nucleotides) under uncultured bacterium. RNAcentral describes it as "bacterial SSU rRNA". It matches the Rfam family "Bacterial small subunit ribosomal RNA", at positions 85 to 421 of the family's 1533-position model. The record is from RNAcentral.